UACAAUAUGAUGGAGAUCACCAAUGUCAGUAUUCUUUCUAAAGGUUAUUUAUAUUACUCUGGUAAAACACAAACUACAAGUACAACAAUUACUAGAUGUUGUAAUUUAACAAGUCCUGAAGAAAUAAUAACCAUCCAAAGUAUAUACAUUUAUCUGGCAGAAGAAUCAAGCCACAACGUGAAGAUUUAUUCACAGAAUCAUACGUUAUUGAGAUGUUUAGAUGAAGGAGGUGUUUUCUUUGGUUUAGAAGAGUUAUCAAUUUCAGGAGAUACGAUGUACCAUGUUGUAUUAAAUACCGCUGAUGUGGAAGAUGAUGAUUUUAUUUGGUUUCGGUUAAUCUCCGAUUCAAAUAUAAGUAUAACGUGUGAAGACUGCUUUGGAUUCAAUUAUGCAAGUCCAAAAGGUGAUGAUUGUCGUUAUGUGUCUGGUUGCUAUGGAGAACCAGGAUCGCUAUGUUCCAAACACACCUUGGCCUGUGAUGUAGAUCAAGUUAUAUCAAUUGAUGAAAGAAGCGAGAUACGUAAAAUACAUUAUGGUACCAAGAUCAACACUUCCUGCAAUACGAGUCUAGAUACCAACCCAUGUAAUGACAGGACAUGUUGUAGGAAACAUAUAACAGAUCUAUCAUCACCUGUAGAUAGAGACUACCGAUUACAGGUUUACAGCAACUGUUCUAAUAAACGUACCUGUAGCCUCACCUCUCCUUUCACAUCUGGGGAUGA
This is a long non-coding RNA of Patella vulgata (common limpet), 722 nucleotides long. RefSeq lists it as uncharacterized. The record is from RefSeq and is a predicted model, not a curated record. The transcript has 3 exons. Lineage: Eukaryota; Metazoa; Mollusca; Gastropoda; Patellidae.